CAGUCGCCACGGUAAUACAGAGGAUGCAAGCGUUAUCCGGAAUGAUUGGGCGUAAAGCGUCUGUAGGUGGCUUUUCAAGUCCGCCGUCAAAUCUCAGGGCUCAACUCUGGAACUGCCUUUGAUACUGGGUAUCUUGAGUAUGGAAGAGGUGAGUGGAAUUCCGAGUGUAGAGGUGAAAUUCGUAGAUAUUCGGAGGAACACCAGUGGCGAAGGCGGCUCACUGGUCCAUUACUGACGCUGAGGUGCGAAAGCGUGGGGAGCAAACAGGAUUAGAUACCCCUGUAGUCCCUGUCUCUUAUAC
Molecule: ribosomal RNA, 301 nt
Filed under: uncultured bacterium
Lineage: Bacteria
Description: partial 16S ribosomal RNA
Rfam family: Bacterial small subunit ribosomal RNA
Source: RNAcentral